Molecule: long non-coding RNA, 268 nt
Organism: Ipomoea nil (Japanese morning glory)
Lineage: Eukaryota; Viridiplantae; Streptophyta; Magnoliopsida; Solanales; Convolvulaceae
Exons: 3
Source: RefSeq, a predicted model, not a curated record
AUCUCCUCCUUAACGCCAAGACUACCUAGCUUCUUCUAAUUCCCUCGCUUCACCAUCCCAAAACAUCUUCUAAAUAUUCCGUACAGUCUGAAUCCUAGACUGUGUUGAUUAAGGAGCAUCGUCUUUCAUGGAUAUAGAUAAAGAUUCUUUCUCACGAUCUAUCUACAUCUGACCAGCAUCAAACGAAAAAGCACAAAUAAGCACGGCCAAAAAAUAGAUAAAAGGGAGCCAAAUUGGUGCAGAUAUAGUACACAAAUGGAAAGCAAAG